UUUAUGAGGGUGAGGAUGAUUGUCAAACAAUGGAACACAGAGCAUGGAUAAUAGUCUUUAAUAAAUGUUUGUAACUUACUUUUUCACUUAUUCUGCAUGUUUUCCCCUUAAGGUAUAAACAUGAAACAAACAGAUUGUGACCUUAUCAGUUUUUCUAUAAGGUGGCUGGAAACUUAGUAUCUGCAGGGCAUCUGCUUACAGAUUUCAUAUGUGCAUGUUAAGCUAACAUAUAAAUAUUGCAUUAGCUGAAUUCUUACAUGCACAUGUGCUAUUACUUUGCAUAUAUUUUUUGUGAUUUGUAAUAAUUUUUUUCAUUGUUUGGUUCAGGCUUGAGAAGGAAAAGAGAAGGUUUAAAGUUUUUCAGUUGAAUGAUUUGUGUGAUGAGACCAGAGAACCCUAGAGCACUCCAUCACCUGGGGUUCACGGUCAUUAUGUUCGUUAACUUAGAGUUACUUUCAGCAACUUAGUAUUGCUAUUUUGAUCCUAAGAAUUUUUACGUGCAUUUUUUCUCUGCAUCAUGUUUAUGAAUUAAUUUACAAGCAUCUUAAAUAAAAGUUGAAAUAUAUUAUUAUUCAAGAUGUAAUCUUUGAUAGCAAUAUGUGUAGAUUUAGCAGAACUUUUAGCAAUUAGACACCAAGUAGUUGAAAAAAUGAAGAAAUAAUUUAAGACUACUUAACCUAAUGUGUUGAUACAUUGUGAUAGAAAAAUAAAACAUCAGGUGAUAAUAGUUAAAACUCUGUAAUGAAUUUACGUUGUAUCAAGGCUUGCAAAAUUAGUAUCAGGAAAUUCUCUAGAUUGAUAUCCUAAGCCACAAUUGGCGUCACAAAAUUAGACUAUUUUAUUAUGGUUCAAAAUCUUCCAAACUUCCAUAAAUUUUUUCAGGAUCACUGAUAUAUUGUUAUCAUGCCCAUCGCAAAAGCGCAGGUUGAUAUUACUUUGUUGUAUUCAUCAGCUUGUUGCAUUAACCUAUUGCUAGCGUGAAAGCUGUUUGACGAUUGUGAUAAAUACUACUAUGGAGAUCAUGGUUCUUUAGAAUGUUAUGACUCUUGAGUAUGGGGUAUGACAACAACUUGGAUUGUAUAAAACAGAAAAGGAGAGAGCUGAGGGAGAUGUGAAAUAACGACAGCAAAAGGAAAAGGGCCAUGAAUGCCAACCUUAAACAAUCACAUUGGAAGACAAAAACAAGAGUUUGAUGCAGAGGCUGAUACUCCUGAAAUGGAAGUUAAUAAGAUGCGUCAACACAUCAAGAACAAUAGGUUCUUUCACAUGGUGCCAACUUACUCAUGCAUAUGCAGGUAGUUAACUAAUCAUCUAAAUAACACUUUGUUUUUACAUGGUAUAUAUAACAUCCAUUUUUUUCAUAGUUAAUUAGUUGGAUGUCAUUUUGCCAAUGCGUACACCUGAUUUAUUUGUCUCUGAAACUUAAAAACUAUGUGUUGUAUAACUUCAUUUUUACAAGGUACAUAUAUAAUUCAUUUUGCUUCAUAGUUUAGUUGGAUGUCAUUGACCAAUGUGUAUGUCCAGUUUAUUUGACACUGAAACAAUGGGAAGAAGUGUGGGAAUGGAGGGAAUGACCAUUUGUGCACGAACUUGUAGAUGUUGAAAGAUUUUCAGAAUUUAUCAAAAACAUUGUCCAAACCAUGGGAAUGAUUUUCAAAUUCCAAGGAAGACUAAAAAGUACCUUAUCUGGGAGCAUCUUAUGAAGCCAUUCAAGGAAAACUAAAUAGAACCUUAUCUGGGAUCAUCUUCUUCUUUUUUUUCUUUCAAGUUCAUGUGUAUUUGUGGUUGUGGAUAUGUCAUUUUGUUGUUUAAGACUUCCACCACGUGUAUUUGAGAUUUCAGAUGGAAUAUGGUUUGAAAUGACUGGAACUUGCUUGCAUUAAUGUUAGAAGAUAUAUAUUUUUUCUUUGAUAAGGAACGUUAGAAGAUAUAUUUAGUCUUUGAAUUCCUCUUUGUUUUAUACCUUAUGUACAUGUUAUGUACAAUACAAUGACAAUCACAAUUUUUUGAAAGACUUUAACUAAACUAAAAAUAAAAUUAACCAUG
This is a long non-coding RNA of Lycium ferocissimum, 2046 nucleotides long. RefSeq lists it as uncharacterized. The record is from RefSeq and is a predicted model, not a curated record. NCBI's taxonomy places the organism in Eukaryota, Viridiplantae, Streptophyta, Magnoliopsida, Solanales, Solanaceae. The transcript is spliced from 3 exons.